RNAcentral lists this ribosomal RNA (514 nucleotides) under uncultured bacterium. Its description in RNAcentral is "partial 16S ribosomal RNA". It matches the Rfam family "Bacterial small subunit ribosomal RNA", at positions 28 to 523 of the family's 1533-position model. The record is from RNAcentral.
GAUGAACGCUGGCGGCGUGCCUAAUACAUGCAAGUCGAGCGAAUGGAUUAAGAGCUUGCUCUUAUGAAGUUAGCGGCGGACGGGUGAGUAACACGUGGGUAACCUGCCCAUAAGACUGGGAUAACUCCGGGAAACCGGGGCUAAUACCGGAUAAUAUUUUGAACUGCAUGGUUCAAAAUUGAAAGGCGGCUUCGGCUGUCACUUAUGGAUGGACCCGCGUCGCAUUAGCUAGUUGGUGCGGUAACGGCUCACCAAGGCAACGAUGCGUAGCCGACCUGAGAGGGUGAUCGGCCACACUGGGACUGAGACACGGCCCAGACUCCUACGGGAGGCAGCAGUAGGGAAUCUUCCGCAAUGGACGAAAGUCUGACGGAGCAACGCCGCGUGAGUGAUGAAGGCUUUCGGGUCGUAAAACUCUGUUGUUAGGGAAGAACAAGUGCUAGUUGAAUAGCUGGCACCUUGACGGUACCUAACCAGAAAGCCACGGCUAACUACGUGCCAGCCGCCACAGUAA